AGUUCGGUCCCUAUCUACUGCAACCGUAAGAAAUUUGAGAGAUGCUGUCCCUAGUACGAGAGGACCGGGAUGGACAAGCCUCUGGUAGUACCAGUUGUUCCGCCUAGGAGCACGGCUGGAUAGCUACGCUUGGAAAAGGUAACCGCUGAAAGCAUCUAAGUGGGAAACUUGUCUCAAGAUUAGAUUUCUCUCUCCUUGUGAGAAUAAGACCUCCGCGAGACUAGCGGUUUGAUAGGCGUCAUGUGGAAGUAUGGCAACGUAUUGAGCAGAGACGUACUAAUUGGUCGAAUGAGUUUUUCUU
Molecule: ribosomal RNA, 301 nt
Filed under: Fibrobacter sp.
Lineage: Bacteria; Pseudomonadati; Fibrobacterota; Fibrobacteria; Fibrobacterales; Fibrobacteraceae
Description: partial 23S ribosomal RNA
Rfam family: Bacterial large subunit ribosomal RNA
Source: RNAcentral